This is a long non-coding RNA of Mauremys reevesii (Reeves's turtle), 1436 nucleotides long. RefSeq lists it as uncharacterized. The transcript has 3 exons. The record is from RefSeq and is a predicted model, not a curated record. Lineage: Eukaryota; Metazoa; Chordata; Testudines; Geoemydidae.
CAAGCAAGGGAUGCUUCGGAGGAAGGUGCAAGAAACUCCACAACAGGCAGAUGUGGGGCGACCUCCCUCCCUCCCUCCAGCCCACGAAGUGCUCAUCCUGAGAACUAAUAGAUUGGUUUAAUCCCUGAAAUCCGGUGUUUGGCUCUAUAAAGGAAACACAAGUGAGAUCAAACCAAGAGGCUUCCCUUUGUGCGAGCUGGUCGCAGACUGAGAGAUCGGAGAUGGCUGGAUGCCACGUCCCACCUGAGCACCCCAACGUUUGGAUUUGAAAGCCUUUCUGUGUGCAGCUUCACAAAAUGGAGAGAAAAUUUCUCUUUUGGGACCAGAGUGGGAAAUGCCAAUACAAUCAAGGGCUCUUCCAACACUAACGCAUUCACUGGCAGCACAUCGGAUGGGUCCCUACCUGUGACUGCACGUUGGCUCCAACCUGGGCCCCUUGGUAAGAAUCCCCAUUGAGUGACUGCACGCUCAUGAACAAAUCUCCAGAGUUUGACAUGUUAAAAGAACUGGAAGAACCUGGAAAGGAAAGAGUGAGGCACCUGAAUCAUAGAAAGGAAAAGGAUCCACCCCGCAACUCUCAGCCAAGAGGAAGGAACAACAUGCAAAGCAACCCCAAAACGAAAACAAAACACACAGUAGGUUAGUAGUAUGAAGAACAGAGCAAGCAAAAAAAAAAAAGGGUGCAAACUUGAGGUUAUACAAAGCCACACAUUAUUACAUCUCAACAUAAGGCUUGUCCUUUAACAGCUUCCCAACUUGGGGGGCAGGAGGUGGAUAUUUUCAAAACCCAGCCUAGGGGACUGGGAUGCCCAAUUCCCAUUCAUCUGAGCACAUCCAAAACCUUUAGGCAGUUUUGUGCAGCUUAGUGCAUAAAGGGCGGAUUGUUUACGCGCCCCUGGGACAGAACUCCCACAGAUGUUCAUAGAAGGUCUGCUGGUGAGCCGAGUGUGGAAUGUGCUUUCGAGGAGGUUAGGUUAUAAAAGAAGGUAUGCUGCUCCCUCCACGAUAAAUCCAUUACUGGACAACUUCAUCAGGUGGGGCUAGCAGCCAUCUAUGAGCUAAGGUUCACGAGGACGGGAAGGCAUCGCAUAGCCUUCUCUUAACAUCCUUUGGCAUCCCACACUUCCAUUCUGGCAGAUUAUAGUCAUUAGUUAGGCAACACAAGCACCCACGAUGGCCCAUCAGAGGAUCUCCUACCCCUUUCCAUGCCAGCUGCCUAGCAACAGUGAACUCUGCAAGCAAAUUACAGACCAGGGAUCCCUCCGCAUGCACUAGUCGCCACUGCUAAUAAUAGAGACAACUGGGUGGGCCAGAAAAAUGUCUUUGCAGAAACAAGGUUUUCUGCUUCCAUCUCUGAGGCACCUGACCACCUCCCCCGCCCACUGACCAGAGGGAACAAAACCACUGCACAACUGGAACGCGUGGAAAAAAAUGGU